UACAGAGGGUGCAAGCGUUAAUCGGAAUUACUGGGCGUAAAGCGUGCGUAGACGGUUACAUAAGUCGGGUGUGAAAGCCCCGGGCUCAACCUGGGAAUUGCAUUCGAGACUGCGUAGCUAGGGUGCGGAAGAGGGAAGCGGAAUUUCCGGUGUAGCGGUGAAAUGCGUAGAUAUCGGAAGGAACACCCGUGGCGAAGGCGGCCAUCUGGACCAGCACUGACGCUGAGGCACGAAAGCGUGGGGAGCAAACAGG
RNAcentral lists this ribosomal RNA (253 nucleotides) under uncultured bacterium. RNAcentral's name for it is "partial 16S ribosomal RNA". It matches the Rfam family "Bacterial small subunit ribosomal RNA", at positions 524 to 776 of the family's 1533-position model. The record is from RNAcentral.